CGCCGUGUGGUCAUACCAGACCUUCUGCUUCCUCUGGGCUCGGGCUAGAUUCUCCCUGGCCAGGCCCGUGAGCUCGGCAAGUCUUUCCCAGAAGGUGUGUCAAACUGGGAAUGUUCUU
Chelonoidis abingdonii (Abingdon island giant tortoise) is the source of this 118-nucleotide non-coding RNA. Lineage: Eukaryota; Metazoa; Chordata; Testudines; Testudinidae. The record is from RefSeq and is a predicted model, not a curated record.